This 373-nucleotide ribosomal RNA is filed under the name uncultured organism. Its description in RNAcentral is "partial 16S ribosomal RNA". It matches the Rfam family "Bacterial small subunit ribosomal RNA", at positions 527 to 896 of the family's 1533-position model. The record is from RNAcentral.
GUAGGUGGCAAGCGUUGUCCGGAAUUAUUGGGCGUAAAGCGCGCGCAGGUGGUUCUUUAAGUCUGAUGUGAAAGCCCCCGGCUCAACCGGGGAGGGUCAUUGGAAACUGGGGAACUUGAGUGCAGGAGAGGAAAGUGGAAUUCCACGUGUAGCGGUGAAAUGCGUAGAUAUGUGGAGGAACACCAGUGGCGAAGGCGACCUUCUGGCCUGUAACUGACACUGAGGCGCGAAAGCGUGGGGAGCAAACAGGGAUUAGAUACCCUGGUAGUCCACGCCGUAAACGAUGAGUGCUAAGUGUUGGGGGGGUUUCCCGCCCCUCAGUGCUGCAGCUAACGCAUUAAGCACUCCGCCUGGGGAUACGGCCGCAAGACUG